AACGAACGCUGGCGGCAUGCCUAACACAUGCAAGUCGAACGAGACCUUCGGGCUUAGUGGCGCACGGGUGCGUAACGCGUGGGAACCUGCCCUUAGGUUCGGAAUAACUCCCCGAAAGGGGUGCUAAUACCGGAUAAUGUCUUCGGACCAAAGAUUUAUCGCCUUUGGAUGGGCCCGCGUUGGAUUAGCUAGUUGGUAGGGUAAAAGCCUACCAAGGCGACGAUCCAUAGCUGGUCUGAGAGGAUGAUCAGCCACACUGGGACUGAGACACGGCCCAGACUCCUACGGGAGGCAGCAGUGGGGAAUAUUGGACAAUGGGCGAAAGCCUGAUCCAGCAAUGCCGCGUGAGUGAUGAAGGCCUUAGGGUUGUAAAGCUCUUUUACCCGGGAUGAUAAUGACAGUACCGGGAGAAUAAGCUCCGGCUAACUCCGUG
RNAcentral lists this ribosomal RNA (433 nucleotides) under uncultured bacterium. RNAcentral's name for it is "partial 16S ribosomal RNA". It matches the Rfam family "Bacterial small subunit ribosomal RNA", at positions 29 to 507 of the family's 1533-position model. The record is from RNAcentral.